GAUGAAGAACGCAGCGAAAUGCGAUACGUAAUGUGAAUUGCAGAAUUCAGUGAAUCAUCGAAUCUUUGAACGCACAUUGCGCCCGCCAGUAUUCUGGCGGGCAUGCCUGUUCGAGCGUCAUUUCAACCAUCAAGCCCCCGGGCUUGUGUUGGGGACCUGCGGCUGCCGCAGGCCCUGAAAAGCAGUGGCGGGCUCGCUGUCACACCGAGCGUAGUAGCAUACAUCUCGCUCUGGGCGUGCUGCGGGUUCCGGCCGUUAAACCACCUUUUAACCCAAGGUUGACCUCGGAUCAGGUAGGAAGACCCGCUGAACUUAAGCAUAUCAAUAAGCGGAGGA
Molecule: unclassified non-coding RNA, 336 nt
Filed under: soil metagenome
Description: partial contains 5.8S ribosomal RNA, internal transcribed spacer 2, and large subunit ribosomal RNA
Rfam family: 5.8S ribosomal RNA (bases 1-120)
Source: RNAcentral